CAGCUUGUUGGGCCACCAAGUUAGGUGUGGCUUGCUGGCAAUGUCCACAGGGAUUCCUUCUGACCCCAAUCUGGCCAGCUCUUGUGGGUGAACUUAGUCCCCAGCAGAUGGUAAACAGUACCUGGCAGGUGAGCUUAUAUAGGGACAGAUAUGGGAGUUCUAGCCUGUGAAUGGCCUUUAAAACUUGCUGUAAGGAGGGAGAAGGCCUCCACACAAAGGCUGGCCUUUCCUUUCAAGUAACAGGCUGGGUCCGGAAGAACCCCUAGGCACAAAUAGGAUAACUGUAAACCCAUUGAUGAUGAGCAGGCUUAUCUUUUCCACACCAUAGUCAUUCCCUUCCAGCAUCACCUUCACCUUUUGAAUUUAAUUUCAGUGGGUUCCUCCUCAUCCACUUAACCAAAGGGCUAGUAUCUGGUAAACUUUUUCAAAAGUUGUUUAUCUGUUUGCUGUGCCCUUGGACACCUCUUAAGAUAACCAAAUUCUGCAUGGUUUUUGAGAUCAAAGCAAAGGUCUUAAUCUAUGCUUGGAUACAGUUAGAUGACAUUUUGAAUCAAGAUGCCAGACUUAACCUUUCAAAUGAGCACUGGCAUUAUUAUUAUUAUUAUUAUUAUUAUUAUUAUUAGUUUCUUAGAAUUCCUGAGCAGCACCAGGUAUGAGGCUAAUAGUUAAUAAUACCAAACAGCUGAGAUUUCUAACAAUUCUGCCUUAAAUGUAACAUAUAAUACUUUUAAGGCAAUUGCAUAAAUUUAAGAAGGUUUUUAUUUAUAUGUCUGACAUCCUUCAUUUUAAUAGCAGAUUCUAAGGCUAAAAAGCAAAUCAGUUGAUGUUCUUAAACAUGUCAAAACAAGUUAAGAAAUUAAGUCCAUGCAUUCAAUUAAAAUUAUGCUAUUCAACAAUUUUUUAAAAGCAGUCUCGAAGUGGGAAUGCUAAUUUUGAUGAUCUGAUUUACAGUACAUUUUUCACUAAAAAAACUAUUUUGCAUUAUGGUCUCAGUUUCCCUUUUGUUUGACAUAUUAUGUUGAAAUAUUCAGAAAACCAUACUAUUUUUGUCCUAUUGAGUAAUCAGAUUACUGGGAAUUUGUGGAAACAAGGAUAUUAUAUGAAUAGCCCCUUGAAUGAUUUGAUUCACUUGCAGAAUUUUAGAAUAUGCAUAUAUGUGUUUAUUAUUUUACUGCCAGUUUUAUUUUUUUAUUUUUAAAUGAUAUUUAUUAAAAUUUCAGAGAAAAAAAGAAUUACAGAAAAACAAAAAGUAAAAAUACAAGAAAAAUACAAAAUACAGAAUAAAAGAAUAAAAGACACUUAAAAAGAGAAAAAAGAAAAAUGGGUCAAUCUUUCCAUAGCUUACAUUCAUAUCCUUGUUUCCCUGACCUCCUCAUGCCUCCCUUUUUUGUAUUCCAGUUCAAUUAGUUAAGUCAGCAAUUUAUUUCCCUCUUUGUUUUCUCAUGAUCCUUUAACUUAAUAUACUAUAACUUUAAAUUUUCAUCUAUUAACACUCCUUUUUUACAUACACCUUUAUAGCAUUACUGCUUAAACCACCUAACUUCAUUCCAACAUCAUUCUAACAUUCAUUAAUUUUGCAAUAUUUCUGUAAAUAAUCUUUAAAUUUCUUCCAAUCUUCUUCCACCGACUCUUCUCCCUGGUCUCGGAUUCUGCCAAUCAUUUCCGCCAAUUCCAUGUAGUCCAUCACCUUCAUCUGCCAUUCUUCCAGAGUGGGUAGGUCUUGUGUCUUCCAAUACUUUGCAAUAAGUAUUCUUGCUGCUGUUGUGGCAUACAUAAAGAAAGUUCUGUCCUUCUUUGGCACCAUUUGGCCAACCAUGCCCAGGAGAAAGGCCUCUGGUUUCUUCAGAAAGGUAUAUUUAAAUACCCUUUUCAUUUCAUUGUAAAUCAUCUCCCAGAAAGCCUUAAUCCUUGGGCACGUCCACCAAAGGUGAAAGAAUGUACCUUCGGUUUCUUUACAUUUCCAACAUUUAUUAUCGGGCAAAUGAUAGAUUUUUGCAAGCUUGACUGGUGUCAUGUACCACCUGUAUAUCAUUUUCAUAAUAUUCUCUCUUAAGGCAUUACAUGCCGUAAACUUCAUACCUGUGGUCCAUAACUGUUCCCAGUCAGCCAUCAUUAUGUUAUGUCCAACAUCUUGUGCCCAUUUAAUCAUAGCAGAUUUCACUGUUUCAUCCUGAGUAUUCCAUUUCAACAGCAAGUUAUACAUCUUUGACAAAAUCUUGGUUUUGGGUUCUAACAGUUCUGUUUCCAAUUUUGAUUUUUCCACCUGGAAGCCAAUUUUCUUGUCCAAAUUAUAUGCCUCCAUUAUCUGAUAAUAAUGAAGCCAGUCUCGCACUUUGUUUUUUAAUUUCUCAAAACUCUGCAAUUUCAGUCUAUCUCCAUCUUGUUCCAAAAUUCCCCAAUAUUUUGGCCAUUUGACCUCCAUAUUGAGCUUUUUCUGAGCUUUCGCUUCCAUCGGUGACAGCCACCUUGGGGUUUUGUUUUCCAAUAAGUCCUUGUAUCUUGCAACCCGUUCCAGGGUUUUGAGCGGUGGAUUUUAGCUUCUUUUCCUCUCUUUUUUACAGGGAAAUACAGUUCAAACUUUUCCCCCCUCCUCCCCUGCAAUCAAGGGGGGGAAAUCGCUUGUUUGAUGUUCGAAUUAUAAUCCUUUUCCAACGUCUUUUAAGGUUUCCGCUUACAAGUUCAUUGCUUUACUCCAUUUACAAGAACGGAAGGCAGACUUCCUGUUUAUGCCUCUCCGCUUCGGUGCCGAAUUAUUUGUAAAGUUCCUUUAAUUCCGAAAUUAGCCUACUCACGGAUCGUUGUUUUGCAGCCAAAUUGUCCCAGGAAAAAGGCAGCGCUCUCCGGUAACGGCUACGUGGCUUCGCUCCACAGAAGAAGCAGUUGACUCACAGCACCGCGCCACUUCCCCGCUCUGCUCCAGAGCCCGUAGUCGGGCUCCUUUGCCAAUUGGGGGGGGCGCAAAAGGUGCCCGCCGAGUCCCACGGUCACAGGCUUCACCCGCCUGUGAUUUUUGAAGGGUCCCCGCUUCACCGUAGCGGUGCAGACCCGAUUUCCGCAGAGCCGGCUCCCUCCAAGUCAGAGGGAAUCCGCCAUUAUCGAUGGCGCCACCCCGGAAGUCUAUUUUACUGCCAGUUUUAGUACAUGAUCACUGCUUUCCAUAAGUGUUCAAAUUACUGUAUUCUCUCCUGCUUUACUCUAUCAACAAUGUUCACAAAAAAAUGCAUUUGUUUUGUACAUGUAGCUGAAAAUGAUUGAUAUAAAAGUUGAGUGAAUAUUCUGACUGUUUCUGGUAGGUGUGGGUCUGACUCUAAUUUAAACAACAUUUCAGAAAGGAGGAAUAUAUGGCUGCCAAGUCUGCAAAAUGAUAAUGUCAUGGCAAUUACAUAAAUUGAAUUCCAGAAGAGUGAUGCUCCUAGCUACCAUUUCUCUCCUAAUCCCUCUCUAGUCUUACUGGUGACCAAAAGAAUAAUAUUUGGUGCUAUGAGCUGCAACUCUACUCAGAGUUCCUAAGAUCAGCCUAACACUCCUGAUGUCAGUGCCUGAUUGACAAUGCAGCAAUACCAGUAGACUCUAUUAAGUGACCAUCCUAUGCACAGUUUUUGCAACAGUAAUAACUCAGGUUGAAGUUAGGCUUACUGAAAAAUAUGGUAUAUUCAAACUAGAACAAAGAAUAGAUCCAUCUGUCAACCAAACUGAAAACCUUGAUGGUCACAGGGAAGACCGUCUCCUGCUCUGGAGGGUAGGACUCAAACCAAUGGGUUCAAGUUAUAAGAAAGGCGAUUCCAACUAAACACCAGGAAGAACUUUCUGACAGUAAGAGCUGUUCAACAGUGGAGCGGUCUCUCUCAGCAGGUUGUGGACUCUUCUUCAUUGGAGGUUUUUAAGCAGAGGUUGGAUGGCCAUCUGUUGUGGAUGCUUUAGCUAAAACGCCUGCACUGCAGGGAGGUGGACUAAAUGACUUUUGGGGUUCCCUCCAACUCUACAAUUCUAUGAUUCUAUGACAUUUAUUUAAAGAAGCCACAUAUAAGAAAAAAGAUAGGCUUUAAAAAAAACAAAACAAAGUGUUUUGUCACAGGUUGUAUUAGCACAAGUAGAGUAGUGACUUAGGUGAUGAAUACAGUGAAGGGUAGCGUGAGACAACAUGUAAAAGUCUGUAUUCUAAAGAGUUGCUUCUUUUUUGUACGGUUGCAUGCCACCCCAAUCUCUGAGUGGUGAUUCCUGGGGUUCCAGGCGCUCACCCAGGGUUCAUGUUUCCUUUCAGGAAUGAGGCACAGUGAAGACUGCAGUGUCUUUAUAGCAUAUGGCUUAUUUACACACCUAUAUACAACCUGAGUCUUCAAUGGAGGGGUUCACAGCACUAACACCCCAAAAGGGUCUUUUUUUCUCCCAUAGUCACAGCCUUGGAUUCAAACGGGUAUCAAAUAUCCUGCUCUCUAAUGUUGCCCUCCCUCACUCUAUCUCUAGCCUGCUGCUUUCCUUCUAGGUCACAUCUCUACUCUAAACUCUUGCAUUAUCUGUUGAGGGAGGAGGGCCCACCAAUUUGAAGUCUAGCACAAGCCCUUUAUUCUCAUAAUGGAGAGGCUAGCCUGGCUUAAUUAGCUGUUAAAACUUGCUGAAUCCAGGGAUUAGAAGUGUCUAGUAUCCAGUUUAAAUACCCCAAGCCUUGAUUAAAUUCUAACACUUACUGGACCCAGGAAUACAGAGGUCUGGCACCCACAAACUCAUAACAGUACCAAAGCUACGCAAAGCAUUGAAAUUCCAUUCUGAGAAGUAGCAAGCAGCAAAACCUGGUUUCUAUAGCACUGCCAUGGAAACGUCUCACUGUCAAUCUGUGCCUUCAGGCCCCUUUGCAACUAAAAGAUAUUUCUUCCCCGACACCCACUUCCACAUCACAUGCCCACCCCCUCCAAAUGAUUAAAGGGUAUGGUAUACUCUGGCAAAAAAGGGCUGGACUAGCUCCUUCCUGGCUAUUGAUACAGAAUGGUGUCUUCAAAACACAAUAAAGGAAUAAAUGUCUCUCCAUUUAGGAAUCCUUUUAUUUUACCUAACAAUGUAUUAAGGAACAGACCCAAUAAUCUUAUGCAAGGGAUCUUUUGAAAUGCCCUUUUUUUUUCUUGGAAUGAUGUCUUCUAAAACUGAAGUUAACUAUCAGAAUGUAGAACUAAGUCCUCUUAAUCUACUGUUUUGUCUGUUAUCUCAUGGCUCCUUCCUCCACCUUGGACUACUCUGACUCUCCUUCCUCUCCUGGCUCCUUCCUUUGUGGGUGGCGUCAAAUCCUAUAAAUCACUGAUCCCCUCUCCUGGGUCACUCUCCCAGUCCCUGCCUCUGCCCCACACUCCUCAGAGUCCUGCCAGUCCCUGACACAAGCCGCUCAAAGUGUUUUGCUCUUCCUCUUUCCAACUUGCCUCAGGCACACCUUGCUCACAGGUCCUCCUCUAGAAAACAUAAAUCCCACUUUUGACACCAGUGUUGCAUUCCACCCCAAUCUCUGAGCACUGCAAAAUUCUAGGGGUUCCUGGUUCUUAUCCAGGAUUCAGUUUCCUCCGAAUGAGGGACAGCAGAGACUAUGGUGUCUUUAGGAUAUAUGGUUUAUUUUACACAUAUAAAAAACCUGAGCCUAAGAUGGAGAGGCUCACAGCAUUAGCAUCCCAAGAGGGUCUUGCUUCUCCCAUAGCCACAGACUAGGAUUCCAGCAGAAAUCAGGCAUGGCUCUGUCUCACAGAUUUCAGCCUUCUAUUUCUCGUUUGUAGCUUACACAUCCAACUCUCAACUCUGCCCUUUGUCUUUCUAACUACCAGCAAGUUGACUGAAGGGACUCACCUAUUUUCCAUAUGGCACAAAGCCACUUCCUUUGUUACCUUAUAGGCCCAUAUUUAGAGGGCCAUUACCUCACUAGGAAGCUAGCCUGGCUAUUCCAAGAAUUGAAUCCGUGCUUGAUCCAGGAAUCAGAACAGGUCUCAGGCAUACAGCCCACCCCCACAAAACUCAUAACCAAAUAUUGCAAGGGAUUAAUGGGAACUUAAUUACUGAUUUUCCGACUUUCUAUAAAUAUAUUUGUGUCGGUAUUGUAGUUGUAGGAGACAUUUCAUGCAUUUUAAUUAACAAGCCUAGUAUGGGAGUACUGAUGCAUACAUAAUUUCAUAAAUAUUAGUUAAGUGUAAAUUUCAUAAUCUCCAAAAUGUUAGCUUUAUGGUCCCCAGAAUAAGUGACUGUCUGGCCAGAAAGCAGUAAAGGAAAAAACACAUCUUUAGUAGAACUUGGGGCAACAGAAAACACUUAAUAUUAAUCAAUGCACUGUCAGGGUGUAAUCAGACAGCAGGUUCUCAUAUUUGGGUCAGUGCACAAGCACUGGAAGAGUUCCUGGGAACCAGACCAAACUGUUCUCACAGGAGUUUGCAUCCCACCACUUUGAAAUUGGUUGUGCAGUCGAGCCCUGGAACUUUGAUAUGUUCAUGCCAGCCAUCAACAUGAGCUGAAGCUAAUAACACAUAACCACUGCAUAUGCACUAGAAAUACAAUGACUGGCAACUCCCUAUGUAGGUAUGUGUGAUGAGAUGAUGAGCUGCUUGUGCGUAAAAUCGUAUCCCCUCAGAGUUUGUUCAAGUCCACAAACCUCUGUCUGUGACGGAGCCCCUCAGACAUGGCUCCUCUAGUCACUAGCAGAUUCCGACAGUGGUUGCUUUCAGUAAUCGCUUCCAACAUAAAAGCUCCUUAACGGAAACACGUNNNNNNNNNNNNNNNNNNNNNNNNNNNNNNNNNNNNNNNNNNNNNNNNNNNNNNNNNNNNNNNNNNNNNNNNNNNNNNNNNNNNNNNNNNNNNNNNNNNNUGAUGAGAUGAUGAGCUGCUUGUGCGUAAAAUCGUAUCCCCUCAGAGUUUGUUCAAGUCCACAAACCUCUGUCUGUGACGGAGCCCCUCAGACAUGGCUCCUCUAGUCACUAGCAGAUUCCGACAGUGGUUGCUUUCGUAAUCGCUUCCAACAUAAAAGCUCCUUAACGGAAACACGUCUUCUGGACUCUCUGCGUGACAGUUUCCGGCGAGGAGUGGGUGUUCUUACAGGAGGUCCUGAAACCUCCCCACUGUUUUCGCUGGAAGUGUCUCUGAGCCAUCCCUCCAGCUCAGCUCCUCUCCCCCUGCUGGUUCCCUCUUCAGCUGCUGCGUCUCUCCCAACCUGUGUGAGCCCUUUCACCUCCCUGCUGGUUCCCUCUUCAGCUGCUGCGUCUCUCCCAACCUGUGUGAGCCCUUUCACCUCCCUGCUGGUUCCCUCUUCAGCUGCUGCGUCUCUCCCAACCUGUGUGAGCCCUUUCACCUCCCUUCCGUCCGAUGGCAGUUCCCUGACAUCCACCUCCCCCUCCAGGGCCCACUUCACCCCCUCUCGCCCCCUCCUCUACGGGCGGUGAGGAGGCAAAAACCCGGAAUGAACUUCCUUCAUCUUCCGAUGUCUCGAACACUUCUCUCAACCUGUUGCGGUUCCUGGUCUCGAAGUACACCUCCUCCUCAGAGUCCAUCUCCCCUUCCCCUUCCGAGUCCGGGAAUCCUUCCAACUCCUCCCCCUCAUCAGUGGUCCCAAAGUAUUCCCUCCGGAACCUCUCCACAGGCUGAGGUUUCCUUGGGAACCUUUGAUGGAACGUUUCUAUCAAUACCUCGUCAUUGAUAUCUUCGGCCAUUACCCAAGUGUUUUCUGACUCCGGUUCUCCUUCCCACGCUACCAAAUACUCCACCUGAUCCCCCUUCCACCUGGCGUCGAGGAUUUCUGCCACAUGGCUGCUGCAUUCUCUUUCUUCUAUGACCGGUCCCGAGUGGCCAGCCCUUCUCGUCCCCCUUCGUACGGUGACAGUAACGACCUGUGAAAUACUGGGUGCAGUUUCAUGUGGUUGGGUAACCGGAGCCUGAAAGCCACUGGGUUGACCUGUUGAAUGACCUCAAAGGGACCCAACCUCCUGGGUCUUAAUUUCUUACAACCUCCUUUGAGCGGCAGCCCUUGGGUUGACAGCCACACCCUAUCUCCCACCCUUAUGGUUUCACCUUCCCUUCGGUUCUUGUCUGCCUGCCUCUUGUAUUCUUCCUUCGCCCUUUCUAAGUUGAGUUGGAGCUGACGAUGGAUUGCUUCCAUUUCUUCCACAAAAUGCUCGGCUGCCGGGACGCUCCAUCUCUCCCCAUCUCCCCCUGGGAAAGCCCUGGGAUGACACCCAUAAUUAGCCAAGAAGGGGCUCAUCCCUGUGGACACAUUCUCGGCAUUGUUGUAGGCAAAUUCCGCCAGCGCCAACUUUUCUACCCAGUCAUUCUCUCUGUCAUUGACAUAACACCUCAGGUAUUGCUGGAGGACACCGUUUGCUCUUUCCGCCUGCCCGUUGGUUUCAGGGUGCCGGGCAGUCGAAAAAUUGACCUCCACCUGCAGUAAGCUCAUGAGCUUCCUCCAGAACCUGGAAGUAAAUUGUUUUCCUCGGUCUGAGACCACCCUCAAUGGCACCCCGUGCAACCUAAAAAUGUGUUCUACAAAUAACUUCGCUGUCUCUUCCGCCGUGACUGCAUGCGAGCAAGCUACAAAGUGGCACAUCUUUGUUAGUAGGUCUACCACCACCAUGAUGGCUGUUUUCCCUUUGGACUUCGGCAGAUCAGUCAUAAAAUCUAUCGACACUGCCUCCCAAGGUCGUUCUGGGGUUGGUAAGGGUUCUAAUAGCCCCGCCGGCGCCCGCCUUUCCCCUUUGGCUCUCUGGCAUUGCUCGCACCCUCUUACAUACUCACGUACAUCUUCCCUCACCUUAGGCCACCAAAAUUCCCUGGUGACCAACCACAUGGUUUUGUGUUGUCCAAAAUGCCCCGCCGUAGGGCUGUCGUGCAACUGCUUGAGUACCCUCCCCCUUAACUCUCCUUCAGGGAUAUACAGUGCCCCUUUGUAAUACAAAGCUCCAUUUCUUUCCUCGAAACCCCCUGGUUCCUCUCCCUCACUCCUAAGACCUCUGAGCUUAUUCUGGGCGUAUUCAUCAUUCUCUGUUUCCUCUACCAGUUCUCUUUGUCCCACCAAUGCCGCCCCACACACCCAGCGGUCCUCUGGAAUGACAUGUCUCUCUUCGGGUGCCCCCUCCCCUCCAAAUAUUCUGGUUUGCGUGAGAGAGCGUCCGCCCUAAUGUUCUCUGGGCCUGGCACGUAAUUAAUCUCAAAGUUAAAUUUGGAGAACUCCUGGGCCCAUCUCACUUGCCGUUGGUUGAGCACUCGUGCCGUCCUCCAAUACUCUAAGUUCUUGUGGUCAGUGCACACUUGCACCUUAUGUUGUGCGCCAAUUAGCAGGUGCCUCCAUCUCCGGAACGCCUCAUGAAUGGCUAGUAGUUCUCGGUCAUACACCGUGUAGUUCCUCUCGGAUUUGUUCAGCUUUCGCGAAAAAAGAGCACACGGUCUCCACUCUGACCCCUUCUUCCCUGGCUGCAGAAGCACCGCCCCAAUCGCUCUGUCUGAUGCGUCAGUUUCCACUCUCAUCGGUUUUGUAAAUCCACAUGCAGGAGUUGUUGUUCCGAGGCGAAGGCCCUUUUUAGUUCCUCAAAUGCUCGCUCCGCCUCCUCAGUCCACACGAACUUCUUCUUACUGCUGAGACAGUCCGUAAUGGGCGCCGUCAGGUGGGCAAAGUUUCGGAUGAACUUACGAUAGAAGUUCCCAAAUCCUAGGAACCUCUGCACAUCCUUCUUUGUUUUGGGUGUUUUCCAUUCCAGCACCGCCUGGACCUUGCCGGGAUCCAUGGCCAAUCCCUUGUCAGACAGGCGAUACCCCAGGAAUUCCACCUCCUUGGUAUGAAACUGACACUUCUCCAGUUUCACCCACAGCUGGUUGGCUUGCAGCCUGCUCAACACUUCUCUGACGUCUCUCACAUGCUGCUCCUCAUUCUCAGAAUACACCAACACGUCGUCUAAAAAGGCCACACAAUUCUUGUAAAGCAAAGGCCCCAGGACGUGGUUCAUAAUCGAUUGAAAUGUUGCGGAGCCUGCUUGUAGGCCGAAGGGCAUAACCAAAUAUUCAAAUGCCCCUAAAGGGGUGAACAUAGUGGUUUUCCAUUCAUCCCCCUUCCUUAUUCGUACCAGGUUGUACGCCCCCCUUAGGUCCAGCUUUGUGAAAAUCUUUCCCUUCCGCACCCUUGUCAAAAUGUCGUCAAUCCUGGGCAUAGGGAAGGCUACUGGUUCUGACACUGCAUUUAAGGCCCUGAAGUCACACACCAGCCUCGGCUUGUUCGUGUUUUCUUAUCCACAAAAAACACUGGGCUGCCCCCACCGCCCUGGACUCUCUGAUGAACCCUCUCUUCAGGUUCUUGUCAAUGAACUCUCUUAACUCCUGCAUCUCUCUGUCUGACAUGGCGUACAGCUUGCCUACAGGGAGCUGUGCUCCAGGGAGUAAAUUGAUUUGACAGUCAAAGGGUCUAUGCGGGGGUAGUUGGUCAGCUUCCCUUUCGCUGAAGACGUCACGGAGAUCUGCAUAUUGUCGUGGUACCUUCACGUUCUCUGUUACUUCAGUCCCUGCUAGGGUGGCUUGGACCCCUGCCAAACCCUUUCCCUCUUUGCAGUGUUCUAAGCAAUGUGCUGAACCAAAAGAAACCACUCUCUGAUGCCAGCCCACCAGCGGAUCAUGUAACGCUAGCCAGCUCAUCCCCAAUAUAAUGGGAGCUCCUCCCAAGGUGGCCACAUUAAAAGCUAUCAGUUCGGUGUGCCUUGCUACCUUCAUUAUCAUUGGGACGGUCUGCAAGCUGACUUCUCCUCCCAACAGCUCCCUGCCAUCGAUCGUGGUCACCUGCAGGGGGCUGCUUAAGGGAUCGUCUGUAUCUGGUGUUCAGCUGCAAACUCUUUGCUCAUGAAAUUGCAGGAGCUGCCUGAGUCCAACAGCGCCUUUAUCUUUAGAGGGUGUCCGUUUGGCAGCUCUAGCGUCACUUCUAUCACUAGGGCGGGUUUAGGAGGUUCUGGCGUGGGCACUCUCACUGCUCUUUGGCCUGGCUGCUGUGCCCCGACAGUGGCAGCCAGGCGUUGGCUUUUACUUGCUCCGGUAUAUCUUCCUCUCUUCCAUCCACAGCUCCUACCAUCCCUUGCCAUUCUUUCCUCUGGGGGCAGACUCUGGCAAAGUGACCUGGCUGUUGGCAGAGAUAGCAUUUCCGGGCGCCUUUUCCCUCCUUUUUCCCCCUCACUGGGCUUUGAAACUGCGCGCGCGCGCUGUUCCGAUUUCCAUCGGCUCUGCCGGUGGGAAAGUUGGCUCUGGAAUGUCUGGAAUGCGGAACUCCUUCCAACGUUCCCCUUUCCCUUCCCGCCUCUCCAAUGCUCUCGCCUCCUGGCGCGCUCCUAUGGCCAGCGCUGAUUUGGUCAGCUGGUCCAUAGACUCCACCCUGGGCGCCCGGGAAAGUUCGUCUUUCACAGCCGAAGAAAGCCCUUCUUCAAAGAGCAUUUGAAUGGGUUCCGCCGAUAAGUCCCACCCCAAUCUGUGAACAAGCAUGGUGAACUCAGUCCAGUACUCACGGACAGAUCGGCUCCCCUGUUUGCAAGCCAUUAACUGUCUGCGCACCACUCCCUUUUCAAUAUCGCUGGAAAACAUCAGAUCCAUGGCGCGAAAGAACUUCAUUGUGUCCUUUAGGACGUCACUAUUCGCUGCCAUCAGGGGUCUAACCCAGUCUCUCGCCCCCUUUUCAAGAUGCUCAAUCACGAAAGCCACUCGUGAUUCCUCGUCAGGAAUUCAUCAAACUGCAGAUUGAGGGCAUAUUGCAUUUCUGUCCGAAAGCCAUGAUAGUUUUGGGCUCCCCCCCAAACUUCUGCACCAAUCCUGGUACCUUUCUGGCGAGCUGGGUGGCUUUCCCCUUUUGUCUGCAUCCUGAGCCCUCCUCUCCUCAAGCCUCGCCGUCUGCAUCGCUAGCUGGACCUCCAACACCCGGUACCUUUCUUCCAGGCUUGGACCCACUCCAGCUCCUGCUUCUCCGGUUCCGGCUGGGUUGCUCAUGAUGCCUUCUCCUGCACAAGCUGCUUUCAAAGACUGUCGGAAUGCUGUGAUGAGAUGAUGAGCUGCUUGUGCGUAAAAUCGUAUCCCCUCAGAGUUUGUUCAAGUCCACAAACCUCUGUCUGUGACGGAGCCCCUCAGACAUGGCUCCUCUAGUCACUAGCAGAUUCCGACAGUGGUUGCUUUCGUAAUCGCUUCCAACAUAAAAGCUCCUUAACGGAAACACGUCUUCUGGACUCUCUGCGUGACAGUUUCCGGCGAGGAGUGGGUGUUCUUACAGGAGGUCCUGAAACCUCCCCACUGUUUUCGCUGGAAGUGUCUCUGAGCCAUCCCUCCAGCUCAGCUCCUCUCCCCCUGCUGGUUCCCUCUUCAGCUGCUGCGUCUCUCCCAACCUGUGUGAGCCCUUUCACCUCCCUGCUGGUUCCCUCUUCAGCUGCUGCGUCUCUCCCAACCUGUGUGAGCCCUUUCACCUCCCUGCUGGUUCCCUCUUCAGCUGCUGCGUCUCUCCCAACCUGUGUGAGCCCUUUCACCUCCCUUCCGUCCGAUGGCAGUUCCCUGACAGUAUGCAAGUUAAAUCCACUCAUACAUACCAAUGAACACAUCCAACCAACUUCUGUCCUUAAUUUCUAAUAGAAUAAGCUUAUGCAAAUAGCUUAACUGAUUUCUCAUUUGCUUCUUUACAUUUUUCUCCUUGAAAUAUGUUGACUUCACUUUUCUUUGCCUUUUAAAAACUCAUCUUUUCCCCCACCCAUGUGGAGUUUUGAUCCUGAAAUUGACAUCUCUCUGUUAAACUCCAGAACCUGCAGGAAGUCAGCAUCUAAUCAGAAUCAAGCAACAGUUUGCAUUUUACGGUGCUGGAAACUAAUGACAUGACUGGGGCAUCCAGAACUGUUUAUUCACGUGUGUGCCCAUUUAUAUGUAUAGUAGCAAAUGGAGUCUAAUUUCCCUCCCAAAAUUCCAUGCAUUCACCCACACAUAUGGUGUAAAAAUUCAGUCCCCAUCCCAUCUCCACUUCAUACAAUACGAGGGCAGAUUUGUGAACAGACGUAGCCCCAUUACAUCUAGUUUGGACCUUGAAAUCCCCUAAACACAACCUUCAUUUUUCUUUAUAUAAAAUGACUAGCAAAUAGAAAUUGAAACUUUAAUGCUGUAUAAGACACUGUAGUUGAUCUACCUGUGAUUUGUUUAAAAUGUGGGGGGAAGUGAGAAGGCCAUUGUUCAGCGAUAGAGCACUUAGUUUGGGUGCCAAAAGUCACACGUUUAGUUCCCUGCAUCUCCAGAUAGGGCUUGGGGAGACUCUAGUCUGAAAUCCUAGGGAGCCACUGCUAGCAUAGACAGUAAUGAGCUAGAUUCAGUAUAAAGCAGCUUUCUACGUCCUUUUAACUAGAAUUGUACAUCCUUCAAAUAUUGACUAUCUUUCCUCCAGACUGCUAAGAUUCUCUGGCCAUGACUCAAAAUUACACUAAUACCUUGCGAAGAUCCUAUAGCAUCUAUCAACUGAUGCACGGUCAUUAUAAAGGGCCAUCUACUAAUGCUGAUGGAAAUGUCCAGGAAAGCAAUGUAGUCAGGAUUUUAAUAUUCAGCAAGGAUUACAAGAACACUGGCCUGUUUGAAUGGAUCUGCCCUUCGAAUCAUUUUAUUUACUUUUCCAGUCUUCUUGAAAUGUUUAUUUGAAUUUUGUCCAUUCCUGGAGAAAAGCACAUUGCUUUUAAUGCUUUUGCUUAUCCAGCCCUCAGUUCUUACUUCCAAACAAAGUGCAGUAGUUGCAGGCAUCUUAGCAAGACUCGGGCUGAUGCUAUUCCUAAUCUUACGUAUGUUUUCCAGAAGGCUUUCAUCAUUUGUUUGUAUUAAAUUGGUGGAAGGGAAUGGAUCGUACUACAUAAGAGAAAAUAUAUUACAUUAUAGAGGGAUAAGGAAAUGGGCAUGUAUGAAAAAAACAAUCCAUACUUUGCUCUGAUGUCGGGAAUGUAAUCAAUAAUAAUAAUAAUAAAUUUUAUUUAUAUCCCGCCCUCCCCAGCCAAAGCCGGGCUCAGGGCGGCUAACAACAAUAACACUUGAGUACAUUCCUGAAAGUUCGGGGUUUAAAUCUCAUCUCCAUCAGCUGUUUCCAAGGUCACAAGUGGCUCCCAAAUCCUGCAGAUUCAGGAAAUCCAGGUGAACAUUGAUCAAACGCAUUCAUGUCACUGGCAUGGGGAAUAGCUCACUGACAGCUGCCACCAGUCAGAAUAGACAGCAGUAGAAUAGUAGCCUGGGUCUGUAGGGCAGCUUUACCAUUGUAGGAGACAGACACUCAUGUUCUGUGGGCACACUCAAGUCAACAGUACCAGAGUGCUUUUAGCUUCCUCCUGUGGACUCUGCGUGUACAUGGAAAAUGUUAAAUGAGAUUUCCAAAUCCCAGCAAAUUAUUUAGGAGAGACACGUGAGUAGGAGACAAUGGAAUAAUGAUGAUGCAUUGUACAAACAGAAUAAAAAGAGAAAUGCCUGCCUAGAGACGUAUAAUUCAAAAGACUUGAAAGGCAAGAAGACAAGAUUUUAUCUUUUUUUAAAAAAAAUCCAUGUAUAUUUUCAGUUCUAAUUUAAGUGCUCCUCCACAAAAAAACCCUAAUAAAACAUUCCCAUGAAGGAAACUGUUACAUCAUCAUCAGCCUGAUGAAAAAGAUGGCUUGGGAUUAACUUUGAGCCACUUCCAACAUAAUGUUCUGUGCUCACAGAAUGACUUUUAAAAGCAAUUGGAUGAGCGCCUCCAUUUGGAAAUGUUACACGGGGACUACAACAUUCCUCAGAUGGAUUAAUGAACAUGCUCAUCAGUUUCUGUCAGGUUCUGUUCACAGUUUGCUCAGGGAUGGGGUGGGGAAUGUGCCUGCCUAAUUCACAUGUAACAUUGCCACGUGCAGGCACUGUGACUGCGAUAAAAGAGAUUGCAUAACAGGAAAGUAAAAAAGCAUAGUUGUGAACCAGGGUCUCUCCCAUAUGACCUAUUUAUUGAACAUUCAUUCUGAUUUGUUUGCCCCCACACUUUCCAGGGCAUUUCCCCAUCACUUUCCUUAUCACAAAAACAAUGAUGGGGGGGGGGAAUAAAUGGAUAUGUUGCACAAGAGUGUCAAACCAACUUUAACUACACAACCUAAAUUAGCUGGUAUGGGAUUGAAUCCCACCCAAAACUACUGACAGGUCUGGAAGUGCCUCAGGAGGUCUCUUGUUCAAAUCUCAGCUCAGGCAUAAAUUCACUCAGUGACAGUAGCAAACUACUAUCUCUCCAGCCCAAUCUUCCAUCUAUAAUAUGAGGAUGAUGAUAGUGCUGGCAUAUAUUACACCGCUGUAUUGAUUACUAAGAUAAUGCAGAUAAAGCACUUCAAACACUUAAGGAAGGUGCUAUGUAAAUAUUGUUGUUCUUCAGAUUCUAUCAAUAAGCCCUUAGUCUGUGUUGCCAAGGUUGUUGUUGUUUUCAAGUCCCCAAACCAUUUUAGGAUUGGCACUUAAAUGCUAAAUAAUCCCCUGCAAUUUCUUGGAAACAGUGCUAUCCACAAAUUUCCCUGCUGUACCAGUUUUUCUAUUUGCUUCUUUUCCUCUCCAACUCUUAUACUCCCGUCUCUCACUUACAGGUGUUUUUAAGCUCACAUUUCCCACUUGCUACUACUACUUCUUCCAUUCAUGUUCAGCCCUGUAGUUUACCAGCUUGCAAAUUCCAGAGAACGCACAGGACCACAACACAAAACAGCAAGGACAGAAUGAAAACAUCUCUGGAAUGACAGGAAGAGAUUAAACUAAAAUGAGAAACGACCAGAAAGUCACUCCUGAAUCCCAGGCCACUUCAUUAUUGUGGUUGUCCCUGCAUGCCAGCUGGGACAGAAAGUCAAGGUAGCAACGUAUUGCAAGGAAAAGCUAUUUUCAGUGUACUUCAAGCACAGCUUUAAUGAUGAAGCACUGGAAAUCUUGUAAGAAAAGUCUGUUCCUGGCUGUUUUCCAACCUGUCUUCAAAUCAGAAAGGUCUGACUAAGCAUAUAAACUUUUGGAAUUGGCUCACCAAAUCUAUGGAGAUUAGCUCAUCACUGCAAGCAGCAGUAGGAGCACUUGGGUUGGAUAAACCCCGUAAGAAGAACUUCCACUUCUCCUGCAGCCAGAGGUCUUGGAUUUUGUCUUUAUCAUCCCAUUCAGUCCCUUUCUUUCCUGUUCAUCACUUGCUUCACUGCAAGGGGGGGGGGGUCAGGAAAGGAUUUGUGCCGCAUUUGUUUUCCUGACAUUCUUCAGGGCCAAUGCUAAAGUUUCUUCAGUGACGCAGCUGCUCUCUUCCACAUCUUGCUGAGUGAACCCUGCUCUAAGCAAUGUGCUUUUCCCUCCCUGAAGGUGGGAGUGUGUAAGAUAUUAUUCCACUGCAGCUGCAUGAGCAGCCCUGGCAUGCCAUCAGGAAGGAAACAUUAGCAAAAGGCACUGAUGAUGUCAGAACAAAGAUUAUGUCAGCCAUAACUUCUCACAAAAGAAAGGCCAACAUCACUUUAGGUUUUGGCAUUCACACAAAAAUCAACUCCUAAGUAUAUAACGAUUCCACUGCACCUGCCACAAUUUUGCAACCUGAAUACUCAAGUUCUGUACAUAAUACAUCCAUAUGCUUAUUUUUUCAUGAAUGUGCUGCAUCAGAACCAGUUCAAAUCUGAUUUGAGGCUUAUGAAUCCACUUGAAGGAUGAAGAGCAGACACUGGGCUUAAGCCAAGAACCGAACAGGCAUUGUCCAUGAGAACCAGCCAUGAGGGCAAGCUGGGGGUUUUGACUAUGACAACCAGAUGCUAGACCAUGCCAGAAACAACUCAUAGACAAAACAGUAGUACCCAUCUGGCAGCUCAACAUCUACAUCCUUAAGAACCAAAUGGCAUGUGAUGCUAAACAUGUUAUUAGCAACCACAUCUUAAGGGUUUUCUUAUUUAAUACUAGGCAUGGAGUAGGUCUGGCUUCCAUCAAGUCUGCAGUGCACAGAGAGGAGUGACUUUUCUCUUCUCAGCUGCAAUCCUGGGCAAAAAUAACCCCAUGCAUGCUACAAUUGGUUUUUGUCCCUAAGGCUAACAAUAAUAGAGGAGGAGCAAUGUCGGUGCGACUGCAGCUGAGGAGGGAAAAGUUAAGGCAAACCUUCCCACCCAUCAACAGUACAGUCUCACUGAAGGCCAGGGGUUGCAAGUCCUUAAUUUUAAAAUUUUGCCGUAAAGCUUGCUUUUUUCCUUUUCCUUUUCCCUUUUUUUUUUUUUUUUUGAACCAUCAUCAGCUGAGAAGGGAU
RNAcentral lists this long non-coding RNA (17215 nucleotides) under Podarcis lilfordi (Lilford's wall lizard). The record is from RNAcentral. Lineage: Eukaryota; Metazoa; Chordata; Lepidosauria; Squamata; Lacertidae.